RNAcentral lists this ribosomal RNA (304 nucleotides) under uncultured bacterium. RNAcentral's name for it is "bacterial SSU rRNA". It matches the Rfam family "Bacterial small subunit ribosomal RNA", at positions 44 to 334 of the family's 1533-position model. The record is from RNAcentral.
GUGCCUAACACAUGCAAGUCGAGGGAGAAAGCCCGCAAGGGUGAGUAAACCGGCGAACGGGUGCGUAACACGUGGAUAAUCUACCUUCCUGACCGGAAUAACUGGCCGAAAGGCUAACUAAUACCGGAUAAGACCACGGUGGCUUCGGCCGCUGAGGGAAAAGGUGGCCUCUGUAAACAAGCUAUCACAGGGAGAUGAGUCCGCGGCCCAUCAGCUAGUUGGCGGGGUAAAGGCCCACCAAGGCAACGACGGGUAGCUGGUCUGAGAGGAUGAUCAGCCACACUGGAACUGAGACACGGUCCAG